CAUAGAUCUCACACAUAUAGUACUAAUAGGAGGCAUUAGGAAUGUGAGGUCGAGAAUCUCAGAACCUACUGGCUGAUGAGAACAACUAUGGACGUAGCUACUCUGACUUAAGUCAGAGGGACAUGGGUGACUAACAUAUAGCUGAUACCGCCUAUGGGUCCACAUGUUAACCACUGUGACUUAAGUUAGAGGAUCUCAUUCCAAAUAACUACAUGUUACACAUGUGCAAGGCCGUAGAGCUGUUGUAACAGAGUGAAUCCCUUUACCCCAAACAUGUACGCAUAUGUAGGCAUG
RNAcentral lists this long non-coding RNA (294 nucleotides) under Oryza brachyantha (malo sina). RNAcentral describes it as "long non-coding RNA (OBRA_LNC001971)". Lineage: Eukaryota; Viridiplantae; Streptophyta; Magnoliopsida; Poales; Poaceae. The record is from RNAcentral.